Long non-coding RNA from Gallus gallus (chicken), 1334 nucleotides. The record is from Ensembl. NCBI's taxonomy places the organism in Eukaryota, Metazoa, Chordata, Aves, Galliformes, Phasianidae.
CCCUGUUUGAAGGCAGAUACCACAUUCACACUUUCAAAGCAUUUUAAAAAAAUACAGUGCACAGAGUGAUCUCCUACAACAAUACAUAUAUUUGGUCUAGGCAGCAAGUGGCACAGCUCCGUGUCAUAAAGAACUGAAGUCAUAAGCACCAAGCUCCAAAGCUCCAGCCAAACCAACCAAAUGUGCCUAUGGACUGACAGAAUCCUUAAGUAAGACAGCCAGUAAAAGAGUGAAACAAAGCACCUGAUUCUCGGUCCUUUCUGAAAAUCCAGAGGCCUCCCUCUUGGCUCCACCACUGGCCUGUAAAGCCUGAGCUCUCAGUCUGAUGGAAGUCCUUGUUACUAGACAGCACAGAAUUUUGAUUGGAUUGAGUUUUAGGAAGCUGUUUUGGGAAGCUGGGAAAGAUACGGAUUCGGUGGGUGGACUGUUGAAUGGACAAAGAUCGGCUGCAGGACUGAGUCCAGAGAGCGGCAGUCAAUGGCUCCAUGUCUGGAUGGCAAUUGGUGAUGAGUGUUGUCCCACAGGGGUCCAUGCUGAGGCUGACACUCUUCAAUAUCUUCAUCAGCAACAUCAUCAGUGGGGUCGAGUGCACCCUCAGAAAAUUUGCUGAUGACACCAAGCUGUGGGCAGACACACCAGAGGGACGGGACACCAAACAGAGGGACCUGGACAGGCUCAAGCAGCAGGCACAGGUGCAGUGUCCUGUAUGUGGGACAAGAGAACCCCCCCACUACCAAUACAUGCUGGGGGAUGAAAAGACUGAGCAUAGGCCUGUCCCAAAAGACCUGGAGGUACUGCUGGAUGGCAAGCUGGACAUGAGCCAGCAGUGUGCCCUCCCAGCCCAGAAAACCAGCCAUAUCCUGGUCUGCAUCAAAAGAAGCGUGGUCAGCAGGUGAAGGAAGGUGAUCCUGCCCUUCUGCUCUGUGCUGAAGAGGCCCCACCUGGAGUACUGCAUCCAGAUGUAGAGUCCUCAGUGCAGAAGAGACAUGGACCUGUUGGAGCACAUCCAGAGGAUGGCCACAAAAAAGGUGAACUAAGGGAUUGAACACCUCUCCUACAAGGACAGGCAGAGAGAGCUGGGGCUGUUCGGCCUGCAGAAGUGAAGGCUCUGAGGUGACCUGGUAACAGCCUUUCAAUACCUAAAGAGGAGCUAAAGGAAAGAACAAGGGAACAUUUAGGUUAGACAUAAGGAAAAUAUCUUUUACAGUGAGGGUGGUGAGGCAGUGGAACAGGUUGCCCAGAGUUGUGGUGGAUGCCCUGUCCCCUUCAAGGUGAGGCUGGAUCAGGCCCUGGGCAAGCUGAUCUAGGUGUGGAUGUCCUUGUUCGCUGUGUGG